RNAcentral lists this long non-coding RNA (200 nucleotides) under Oryza brachyantha (malo sina). RNAcentral's name for it is "long non-coding RNA (OBRA_LNC000763)". Lineage: Eukaryota; Viridiplantae; Streptophyta; Magnoliopsida; Poales; Poaceae. The record is from RNAcentral.
UGAGUGCAUUCAUACUCUCACAGCUCAAUAAACUCAAGCCAAAUACUUUACAUAUGUAUGUACAAAUGCAGCACAUACUUUGUAAACAACAUACAGACGCUAUAAUUUUUCCAGCAAGCGAAAUGUCUGUACACCUAAAAGCAAUUUUUCCAGCAAGCCAAAAUUUUCCAGCAAGCCGUUGUGCGGCUGGCAGUGUUGGA